This 459-nucleotide ribosomal RNA is filed under the name uncultured bacterium. RNAcentral describes it as "bacterial SSU rRNA". It matches the Rfam family "Bacterial small subunit ribosomal RNA", at positions 8 to 463 of the family's 1533-position model. The record is from RNAcentral.
AGAGUUUGAUCCUGGCUCAGAUUGAACGCUGGCGGCAGGCCUAACACAUGCAAGUCGAACGGUAACAGGAAGCAGCUUGCUGCUUCGCUGACGAGUGGCGGACGGGUGAGUAAUGACUGGGAAACUGCCUGAUGGAGGGGGAUAACUACUGGAAACGGUAGCUAAUACCGCAUAACGUCGCAAGACCAAAGAGGGGGACCUUAGGGCCUCUUGCCAUCGGAUGUGCCCAGAUGGGAUUAGCUAGUAGGUGGGGUAACGGCUCACCUAGGCGACGAUCCCUAGCUGGUCUGAGAGGAUGACCAGCCACACUGGAACUGAGACACGGUCCAGACUCCUACGGGAGGCAGCAGUGGGGAAUAUUGCACAAUGGGCGCAAGCCUGAUGCAGCCAUGCCGCGUGUAUGAAGAAGGCCUUCGGGUUGUAAAGUACUUUCAGCGGGGAGGAAGGGAGUAAAGUUAA